GCGGGUGUGGCGGAACGGUAAACGCACCAGCCUUAGGAGCUGGCGCCAAAAGCUUGUAGGUUCGAAUCCUAUCGCCCGCACCA
Molecule: transfer RNA, 83 nt
Filed under: Desulfomicrobium sp.
Lineage: Bacteria; Pseudomonadati; Thermodesulfobacteriota; Desulfovibrionia; Desulfovibrionales; Desulfomicrobiaceae
Also listed under: 3 other names
Description: tRNA-Leu
Rfam family: tRNA
About the family: Transfer RNA (tRNA) molecules are approximately 80 nucleotides in length. Their secondary structure includes four short double-helical elements and three loops (D, anti-codon, and T loops).
Source: RNAcentral